This 460-nucleotide ribosomal RNA is filed under the name uncultured bacterium. RNAcentral's name for it is "partial 16S ribosomal RNA". It matches the Rfam family "Bacterial small subunit ribosomal RNA", at positions 338 to 795 of the family's 1533-position model. The record is from RNAcentral.
CCUACGGGUGGCUGCAGUGAGGAAUAUUGGUCAAUGGACGAGAGUCUGAACCAGCCAAGCCGCGUGAAGGAUGAAGGAUCUAUGAUUUGUAAACUGCUUUUAUAUGAGAAUAAACUGAGGAACGUGUUCCUAUUUGUAUGUACUGUACGAAUAAGCAUCGGCUAACUCCGUGCCAGCAGCCGCGGUAAUACGGAGGAUGCGAGCGUUAUCCGGAUUUAUUGGGUUUAAAGGGUGCGUAGGUGGUUAGUUAAGUCAGCGGUGAAAGUUUGGGGCUCAACCAUGAAAUUGCCUCUGAUACUGGUUGACUAGAGUGUAGUUGCGGUAGGCGGAAUGCAUGGUGUAGCGGUGAAAUGCUUAGAUAUCAUGCAGAACACCGAUUGCGAAGGCAGCUUACUAAUCUAUAACUGACGCUGAGGCACGAAAGCGUGGGGAUCAAACAGGAUUAGAUACCCCUGUAGUC